RNAcentral lists this transfer RNA (74 nucleotides) under Saccoglossus kowalevskii. Its description in RNAcentral is "tRNA-Glu". It matches the Rfam family "tRNA". Rfam says of the family: Transfer RNA (tRNA) molecules are approximately 80 nucleotides in length. Lineage: Eukaryota; Metazoa; Hemichordata; Enteropneusta; Harrimaniidae. The record is from RNAcentral.
GUCUCUGUGGCGCAAUCGGUUAGCGCGUUCGGCUUUCAACCGAAAGGUUGGUGGUUCAAGACCACCCAGGAACG